GUGAAUCAUCGAAUUUUUGAACGCAAAUUGCGCUUCCUGGUAUCCCGGGGAGUAUGCCUGUUUGAGGGUAAGUAUGAACAAAAAAUCGGUUUGGUUGCAAAUUGUGACGUUUGAGGAGUUUGGGCUUAUCUUAAUUUUUUUGGUUAAGGGGCUUAAAUUUAACCUUUUUUGCGAAUGUUUAGACGUACUUAAAUUUUUUUUUAUUCGUCUAUUCUUAAUGCUAGAAUCUUAUUAGAUGUGAUAACAUCGUGUGGCUUCUUGGU
This 263-nucleotide unclassified non-coding RNA is filed under the name Glomeraceae sp. RNAcentral's name for it is "partial contains 5.8S ribosomal RNA and internal transcribed spacer 2". The stretch from base 1 to 71 matches the Rfam family "5.8S ribosomal RNA", at positions 84 to 154 of the family's 154-position model. The record is from RNAcentral. Lineage: Eukaryota; Fungi; Glomeromycota; Glomeromycetes; Glomerales; Glomeraceae.